UGAGGAAUAUUGGUCAAUGGACGCAAGUCUGAACCAGCCAAGUAGCGUGCAGGAUGACGGCCCUAUGGGUUGUAAACUGCUUUUAUAUGGGGAUAAAGUGGGGAACGUGUUCCCUUUUGCAGGUACCAUAUGAAUAAGGACCGGCUAAUUCCGUGCCAGCAGCCGCGGUAAUACGGAAGGUCCAGGCGUUAUCCGGAUUUAUUGGGUUUAAAGGGAGCGUAGGCCGUUUGGUAAGCGUGUUGUGAAAUGUAGGAGCUCAACUUCUAGAUUGCAGCGCGAACUGUCAGACUUGAGUGCGCACAACGUAGGCGGAAUUCAUGGUGUAGCGGUGAAAUGCUUAGAUAUCAUGAAGAACUCCGAUUGCGAAGGCAGCUUACGGGAGCGCAACUGACGCUGAAGCUCGAAGGGGCGGGUAUCGAACAGG
This 424-nucleotide ribosomal RNA is filed under the name Verrucomicrobiota bacterium. Its description in RNAcentral is "Verrucomicrobia bacterium partial 16S ribosomal RNA". It matches the Rfam family "Bacterial small subunit ribosomal RNA", at positions 355 to 776 of the family's 1533-position model. The record is from RNAcentral. Lineage: Bacteria; Pseudomonadati; Verrucomicrobiota.